GGACCUACGGGGGGCAGCAGUGAGGAAUAUUGGUCAAUGGGCGGGAGCCUGAACCAGCCAAGUCGCGUGAGGGAAGACGGUCCUACGGAUUGUAAACCUCUUUUGCCGGGGAGCAACGGGGUCCUUGCGAGGGCCCGAUGAGAGUACCCGGAGAAAAAGCAUCGGCUAACUCCGUGCCAGCAGCCGCGGUAAUACGUAGGGAGCAAGCGUUGUCCGGAUUUACUGGGUGUAAAGGGUGCGUAGGCGGCUUUGCAAGUCAGAGGUGAAAUCCAUGGGCUUAACCCAUGAACUGCUUUUGAAACUGC
This 305-nucleotide ribosomal RNA is filed under the name uncultured bacterium. RNAcentral's name for it is "bacterial SSU rRNA". It matches the Rfam family "Bacterial small subunit ribosomal RNA", at positions 333 to 636 of the family's 1533-position model. The record is from RNAcentral.